UACAGAGGUCCCAAGCGUUGUUCGGAUUUACUGGGCGUAAAGGGUGCGUAGGCGGCGGGGAAAGUUUAAGGUGAAAUCUCCAGGCCUAACUUGGAAAAUGCCUUGAAUACUUCCCUGCUCGAGGGUCGCAGAGGAGAUUGGAAUUCUCGGUGUAGCAGUGAAAUGCGUAGAUAUCGAGAGGAACAUCAGUGGCGAAAGCGAAUCUCUGGGCGACUCCUGACGCUGAGGCACGAAAGCCAGGGGAGCAAACGGG
This 253-nucleotide ribosomal RNA is filed under the name uncultured bacterium. RNAcentral describes it as "partial 16S ribosomal RNA". It matches the Rfam family "Bacterial small subunit ribosomal RNA", at positions 524 to 776 of the family's 1533-position model. The record is from RNAcentral.